RNAcentral lists this ribosomal RNA (247 nucleotides) under uncultured bacterium. RNAcentral describes it as "partial 16S ribosomal RNA". It matches the Rfam family "Bacterial small subunit ribosomal RNA", at positions 86 to 334 of the family's 1533-position model. The record is from RNAcentral.
AGAUGGCGACCGGCGCACGGGUGAGUAACACGUAUCCAACCUGCCGAUAACUCGGGGAUAGCCUUUCGAAAGAAAGAUUAAUACCCGAUGGCAUAAUUAGACCGCAUGGUCUUAUUAUUAAAGAAUUUCGGUUAUCGAUGGGCAUGCGUUCCAUUAGGCAGUUGGCGGGGUAACGGCCCACCAAACCGACGAUGGAUAGGGGUUCUGAGAGGAAGGUCCCCCACAUUGGUACUGAGACACGGACCAA